This 1294-nucleotide long non-coding RNA is filed under the name Gallus gallus (chicken). Lineage: Eukaryota; Metazoa; Chordata; Aves; Galliformes; Phasianidae. The record is from RNAcentral.
CUCAAAAGACACUUGAGAGGGUAAGAAGCUCUCAUGCUGGGCAAAAGAUGUGAGUUUUCCUCAAGUGUUCCUAAUUUCUCUGGCAGCAAGGAAACACACAGUACACAUCCCUGCUCAGGUAACAACAGGAGCAUGUUUAUUCAGGUCUGGCACUUACAGAGCUCAGAGGGACAAGGUACAUGUCAUUUGUUUUCCAGAAAAAGUCAGCCCGAGUUUGGAAGAAAUUUAUAAAAAGAGACUCCAGCUGCAGGGAUUGGGAAUUUGUCUCCACUGGGGUCAUGCGUUCCCCGUGCCUAGGGGGACAUGUUGGGGCACAUUGGUGCCAGGCACCUCCAGGACCAUUUGAACACUUCAGUGAGCGGUGUCAGGGGACAGUCGCUUCUCGGUGAGUCCCAUCCUUGUUUUAAUCAACCUUAGAAACUGGGGGCACAGGUUAAAAAAAGCAGAAACCCUUCCAAAACAAUCCAGUGGGAUGUGCUAGAGUGCAGUGGGGUACGUCCAAAGGAGGAGGAGUAGGGUUAGGCCCAGCCAAUUAGGUCUCUGAUACUGGAAGAGCGUAAAGUCUGGGAAACAAUCACUGUUGGAAGCCUGCUGAGAAGUAGAAGAUCUCCUUGUAGGCAGCAAAAGAGAAGACAUCAGCUAACGAGACCUGUGAUGGCCAAUGGAAGACAAGGCGCCAUGUUGCAGAGGUGCAGAGGUCCCCUGGCGCAGGGUCUUCCUUGGCCUUCCCCAUCACUCACGAGCCCUGAGGACGUAGACAAAGCUAACCAGGAUCCCCAAGGCCAGGACGGCAUAGCUGGCUUUAACGCUGCUGGAGCCGCUGAUGUUGCAGAGGAAGGAGUCGCAGCAGUAGACGGAGGCAGCCGCAAUGCCGAGGUUAAUCCCAGCACUGGGGCAAACGGGAGAGCAGCCUUUGGAGAUGGACUGGCCAGACUUGCCACCGAUUCCCACUCCGACAUACGUUGUCACACAGUGUUCUUCAUUCUCUGCACACUUGACAGGUGUCAGGCAGGCCCAGUUGGAGGAUGCAUCCGAGCACGAAAAGCAGAUGAGCGUGUGGGCUCUCUCCACGCACAGCACCGCAGCCAACACGGCGAGCAGAAACGCCUUCAUGGUGCGGCGAUGGGGCCCAGAAGAUGCGCAAAGAGACGACAAGCGCGCAAUGCUAGCGAUAGGGCUGAGCGCUGGAGGCGGGAAAAGGGCACCUGCGCCGCCCAGCGGUCCGCCUCCGCGCCCUGCACCGCCCCCCCCCUCCGCCUCCCUGGCAUUCGCUGGUUUCGUUUCCCCGCUCCGU